RNAcentral lists this ribosomal RNA (465 nucleotides) under uncultured bacterium. RNAcentral describes it as "partial 16S ribosomal RNA". It matches the Rfam family "Bacterial small subunit ribosomal RNA", at positions 339 to 795 of the family's 1533-position model. The record is from RNAcentral.
CUACGGGACGCAGCAGUGGGGAAUAUUGCACAAUGGGCGCAAGCCUGAUGCAGCCAUGCCGCGUGUAUGAAGAAGGCCUUCGGGUUGUAAAAUACUUUCAGCGGGGAGGAAGGGAGUAAAGUUAAUACCUUUGCUCAUUGACGUUACCCGCAGAAGAAGCACCGGCUAACUCCGUGCCAGCAGCCGCGGGUAAUACGGAGGGUGCAAGCGUUAAUCGGAAUUACUGGGCGUCAAGCGCACGCAGGCGGUUUGUUAAGUCAGAUGUGAAAUCCCCGGGCUCAACCUGGGAACUGCAUCUGAUACUGGCAAGCUUGAGUCUCGUAGAGGGGGGUAGAAUUCCAGGUGUAGCGGUGAAAUGCGUAGAGAUCUGGAGGAAUACCGGUGGCGAAGGCGGCCCCCUGGACGAAGACUGACGCUCAGGUGCGAAAGCGUGGGGAGCAAACAGGAUUAGAUACCCCGGUAGUC